CCCCAGGCAACGCCUAAUUCGUGCAGAAGCGGGGGACCCAAUUCCCGGGGCGAACCGGUUUUUACCGCAGGGCUACCCUUGGCCCGAGCCCGUCAGCUAACCCCGCCGGCGUCAAAGGGGAAGGCG
RNAcentral lists this small RNA (126 nucleotides) under Desulfotomaculum sp. RNAcentral describes it as "c-di-AMP sequence". It matches the Rfam family "c-di-AMP riboswitch aptamer (ydaO/yuaA leader)". Rfam says of the family: This family represents a conserved RNA structure found upstream of the ydaO and yuaA genes in Bacillus subtilis and related genes in other bacteria. The ydaO/yuaA element is thought to act as a genetic "off" switch for the ydaO and yuaA genes in its native state. Lineage: Bacteria; Bacillati; Bacillota; Clostridia; Eubacteriales; Desulfotomaculaceae. RNAcentral also lists the same sequence under 1 other name. The record is from RNAcentral.